Molecule: ribosomal RNA, 300 nt
Filed under: uncultured Pyrobaculum sp.
Lineage: Archaea; Thermoproteati; Thermoproteota; Thermoprotei; Thermoproteales; Thermoproteaceae
Description: partial 16S ribosomal RNA
Rfam family: Bacterial small subunit ribosomal RNA
Source: RNAcentral
GUCUAAGUCCGUGCGAGCAGGGGGGGGCUAAAGGGGGAUCCAAGCGUUAUCCUGAAUUACGGGGGGUAAAUAGUUGCGUAGGUGGCAGAGUAUGUCUGUAGUGAAAGCGUGUGGCUCAACCAUAUAUACAUUACAGAAACUGCUCAGCUAGAGGGCGAGAGAGGUUACUAGAAUUCCUAGUGUAGGAGUGAAAUCCGUAGAUAUUAGGAGGAAUACCGAUGGCGUAGGCAGGUAACUGGCUCGUCCCUGACACUAAGGCACGAAAGCGUGGGUAGCAAACGGGAUUAGAUACCCCAAGUC